RNAcentral lists this transfer RNA (69 nucleotides) under Lophoceros camurus (red-billed dwarf hornbill). RNAcentral describes it as "Tockus camurus (red-billed dwarf hornbill) tRNA-His". It matches the Rfam family "tRNA". From Rfam's summary of the family: Transfer RNA (tRNA) molecules are approximately 80 nucleotides in length. Their secondary structure includes four short double-helical elements and three loops (D, anti-codon, and T loops). Further hydrogen bonds mediate the characteristic L-shaped molecular structure. tRNAs have two regions of fundamental functional importance: the anti-codon, which is responsible for specific mRNA codon recognition, and the 3' end, to which the tRNAs corresponding amino acid is attached (by aminoacyl-tRNA synthetases). tRNAs cope with the degeneracy of the genetic code in two manners: having more than one tRNA (with a specific anti-codon) for a particular amino acid; and 'wobble' base-pairing, i.e. permitting non-standard base-pairing at the 3rd anti-codon position. The record is from RNAcentral. Lineage: Eukaryota; Metazoa; Chordata; Aves; Bucerotiformes; Bucerotidae.
GCGGAUAUAGUUUAACCCAAACAUUAGAUUGUGAUUCUAAAAAUAGAAGCUAGACCCUUCUUAUCCACC